AGAAACUCGGCGUUACGGUUCUUGGAGAGAUUCACUUAAUACAAUUGAUGUCGUCAUUUAUAUCACCGACCCACUCUUCCCACCACAUAUCAUUCUAUACAUCUCUUCUUAUCUCAAGUGAUUGCAUAUUUUCAUCUAUAAAUAAAUGAGUUUAAAUCUGUGAAGUCCAUCCAUUUUUACUUCUAAAUCAUUCAAGAGAUUUUUAGUUGAAGAUUAUUGAAAGUUCUGGGUUUCACGGACCUUACAUGAAAUGCGUUGACAGCUGCUUGAUUAUGAGAGGAAUGUUGCUGCUGAGUUUCUUGAAAAUCUGCAAGAGUCUGUUUUUUCAGUGAUUUUAUUCCAACCCGAUAAUCUGUUUCCAAUAUAAUAGAGGAAUAUUCUGCGAAUCUUAUUCUUUAUGUUCCGGGAGGACCAAAGAUAGUCUACCAGCACCACCGUAAAACUCCAGCCCACCACCGUCAGCGGAGAAUCCAGAGGAUGUCUGAGUUUCAUGUGCAGGUGAAUCUGAUUCUCUAGAUCGACUGAGGCUAUCGAUUCUUUCUUUAUCGAAGCGUUAGUCUGUUCUUCCGUCAAAUUUGGUCUUCUUCAUUACGGUUGCUCUUUGUUGAGCUUUCCCCGGUGAGGACCUCACUUUCGGCGUUGAAGAAGUGGAUUGACUCAUCAGAAGUGGAAAGCUAAAUAAAUUGAGUCUGACAUCUCGUGGAGCAAUUGGAGAAAAAGAGUUCAUCUGAUUGUGCCUCUAGAAUCUUGAAGGGAUUGAGCUUAGGACAUGUUGAGCUGUUACUUUCUGACAAGUUAAAGUCUAAAGGUCUUGGCUUUAAGAUUUUGGCCGCGUCUUGAAGAGCUUUCUUUGUGUAUCUGCCAUGCAUUUGGAGAACUAGGUUUUUUAGUGACGUUAGUACAGCACUUAGGAGAGGCUAAGGAAACUGGAACUGACGUUUAUCUUUGUUGUCAUUCCACAAACAAGUCGUUUUGAUGUUAGCUUUUUGUAGUAGCUUGGUUGAGUUGGAUUUGAGAGGAUGCAAGAACUUGACAGAUUUAGUGUUAGUUUCUUUGAACAAAAGCUGUGUGAAGUUGAGGAGUCUAGACAUUGCAAGUUGUCGAUUGAUUCUGGGUGAUGAAUUAGAGGCUUUUGUUAUGAAGUGACAAUGCUUGAAGAAGAUUAUAAUCGCAGAGAACAAGAAUAUUGAGGCUGCCAUGAAAUGAGCUUCAAGUAAGUUAAUGGAAGUUGUUGCUCUUGAUUCAGAUGUUCUAGAACUGUUUAUGUGAAGUAUAUAAAUCAUUAAGUGGAAAUUACAUUAUCCUUGGUUUUAAAUUUUCUUAGCUCUGUUUUUUUAACACCUACGUUCCUUAGCUCUGCUUUGUUUCACUUUUACAUUUCAACAAUACUACACAUUUAUAAGA
Long non-coding RNA from Raphanus sativus (radish), 1404 nucleotides. RefSeq lists it as uncharacterized. NCBI's taxonomy places the organism in Eukaryota, Viridiplantae, Streptophyta, Magnoliopsida, Brassicales, Brassicaceae. The transcript is spliced from 2 exons. The record is from RefSeq and is a predicted model, not a curated record.